Molecule: ribosomal RNA, 1554 nt
Filed under: Lactiplantibacillus plantarum
Lineage: Bacteria; Bacillati; Bacillota; Bacilli; Lactobacillales; Lactobacillaceae
Description: Lactobacillus plantarum partial 16S rRNA
Rfam family: Bacterial small subunit ribosomal RNA
Source: RNAcentral
UGAUCAUGGCUCAGGACGAACGCUGGCGGCGUGCCUAAUACAUGCAAGUCGAACGAACUCUGGUAUUGAUUGGUGCUUGCAUCAUGAUUUACAUUUGAGUGAGUGGCGAACUGGUGAGUAACACGUGGGAAACCUGCCCAGAAGCGGGGGAUAACACCUGGAAACAGAUGCUAAUACCGCAUAACAACUUGGACCGCAUGGUCCGAGCUUGAAAGAUGGCUUCGGCUAUCACUUUUGGAUGGUCCCGCGGCGUAUUAGCUAGAUGGUGGGGUAACGGCUCACCAUGGCAAUGAUACGUAGCCGACCUGAGAGGGUAAUCGGCCACAUUGGGACUGAGACACGGCCCAAACUCCUACGGGAGGCAGCAGUAGGGAAUCUUCCACAAUGGACGAAAGUCUGAUGGAGCAACGCCGCGUGAGUGAAGAAGGGUUUCGGCUCGUAAAACUCUGUUGUUAAAGAAGAACAUAUCUGAGAGUAACUGUUCAGGUAUUGACGGUAUUUAACCAGAAAGCCACGGCUAACUACGUGCCAGCAGCCGCGGUAAUACGUAGGUGGCAAGCGUUGUCCGGAUUUAUUGGGCGUAAAGCGAGCGCAGGCGGUUUUUUAAGUCUGAUGUGAAAGCCUUCGGCUCAACCGAAGAAGUGCAUCGGAAACUGGGAAACUUGAGUGCAGAAGAGGACAGUGGAACUCCAUGUGUAGCGGUGAAAUGCGUAGAUAUAUGGAAGAACACCAGUGGCGAAGGCGGCUGUCUGGUCUGUAACUGACGCUGAGGCUCGAAAGUAUGGGUAGCAAACAGGAUUAGAUACCCUGGUAGUCCAUACCGUAAACGAUGAAUGCUAAGUGUUGGAGGGUUUCCGCCCUUCAGUGCUGCAGCUAACGCAUUAAGCAUUCCGCCUGGGGAGUACGGCCGCAAGGCUGAAACUCAAAGGAAUUGACGGGGGCCCGCACAAGCGGUGGAGCAUGUGGUUUAAUUCGAAGCUACGCGAAGAACCUUACCAGGUCUUGACAUACUAUGCAAAUCUAAGAGAUUAGACGUUCCCUUCGGGGACAUGGAUACAGGUGGUGCAUGGUUGUCGUCAGCUCGUGUCGUGAGAUGUUGGGUUAAGUCCCGCAACGAGCGCAACCCUUAUUAUCAGUUGCCAGCAUUAAGUUGGGCACUCUGGUGAGACUGCCGGUGACAAACCGGAGGAAGGUGGGGAUGACGUCAAAUCAUCAUGCCCCUUAUGACCUGGGCUACACACGUGCUACAAUGGAUGGUACAACGAGUUGCGAACUCGCGAGAGUAAGCUAAUCUCUUAAAGCCAUUCUCAGUUCGGAUUGUAGGCUGCAACUCGCCUACAUGAAGUCGGAAUCGCUAGUAAUCGCGGAUCAGCAUGCCGCGGUGAAUACGUUCCCGGGCCUUGUACACACCGCCCGUCACACCAUGAGAGUUUGUAACACCCAAAGUCGGUGGGGUAACCUUUUAGGAACCAGCCGCCUAAGGUGGGACAGAUGAUUAGGGUGAAGUCGUAACAAGGUAGCCGUAGGAGAACCUGCGGUUGGAUCACCUCCUUA